This 220-nucleotide ribosomal RNA is filed under the name uncultured bacterium. RNAcentral describes it as "partial 16S ribosomal RNA". It matches the Rfam family "Bacterial small subunit ribosomal RNA", at positions 340 to 577 of the family's 1533-position model. The record is from RNAcentral.
UACGGGAGGCAGCAGUGGGGAAUAUUGGACAAUGGGCGCAAGCCUGAUCCAGCCAUGCCGCGUGAGUGAUGAAGGCCUUAGGGUUGUAAAGCUCUUUCGCCGGUGAAGAUAAUGACGGUAACCGAGAAAGAAGCCCCGGCUAACUUCGUGCCAGCAGCCGCGGUAAUACGAAGGGGGCUAGCGUUGUUCGGAAUUACUGGGCGUAAUACUACUACUAAUC